CUGGCGGCGUGCCUAAUACAUGCAAGUCGAACGCUUUGUGGUUCAACUGAUUUGAAGAGCUUGCUCAGAUAUGACGAUGGACAUUGCAAAGAGUGGCGAACGGGUGAGUAACACGUGGGAAACCUACCUCUUAGCAGGGGAUAACAUUUGGAAACAGAUGCUAAUACCGUAUAACAAUGACAACCGCAUGGUUGUUAUUUAAAAGAUGGUUCUGCUAUCACUAAGAGAUGGUCCCGCGGUGCAUUAGCUAGUUGGUAAGGUAAUGGCUUACCAAGGCGAUGAUGCAUAGCCGAGUUGAGAGACUGAUCGGCCACAAUGGGACUGAGACACGGCCCAUACUCCUACGGGAGGCAGCAGUAGGGAAUCUUCCACAAUGGGCGAAAGCCUGAUGGAGCAACGCCGCGUGUGUGAUGAAGGGUUUCGGCUCGUAAAACACUGUUGUAAGAGAAGAAUGACAUUGAGAGUAACUGUUCAAUGUGUGACGGUAUCUUACCAGAAAGGAACGGCUAAAUACGUGCCAGCAGCCGCGGUAAUACGUAUGUUCCAAGCGUUAUCCGGAUUUAUUGGGCGUAAAGCGAGCGCAGACGGUUAUUUAAGUCUGAAGUGAAAGCCCUCAGCUCAACUGAGGAAUUGCUUUGGAAACUGGAUGACUUGAGUGCAGUAGAGGAAAGUGGAACUCCAUGUGUAGCGGUGAAAUGCGUAGAUAUAUGGAAGAACACCAGUGGCGAAGGCGGCUUUCUGGACUGUAACUGACGUUGAGGCUCGAAAGUGUGGGUAGCAAACAGGAUUAGAUACCCUGGUAGUCCACACCGUAAACGAUGAGUGCUAGGUGUUUGAGGGUUUCCGCCCUUAAGUGCCGCAGCUAACGCAUUAAGCACUCCGCCUGGGGAGUACGACCGCAAGGUUGAAACUCAAAGGAAUUGACGGGGACCCGCACAAGCGGUGGAGCAUGUGGUUUAAUUCGAAGCAACGCGAAGAACCUUACCAGGUCUUGACAUCCCUUGACAACUCCAGAGAUGGAGCGUUCCCUUCGGGGACAAGGUGACAGGUGGUGCAUGGUUGUCGUCAGCUCGUGUCGUGAGAUGUUGGGUUAAGUCCCGCAACGAGCGCAACCCUUAUUACUAGUUGCCAGCAUUCAGUUGGGCACUCUAGUGAGACUGCCGGUGACAAACCGGAGGAAGGUGGGGAUGACGUCAAAUCAUCAUGCCCCUUAUGACCUGGGCUACACACGUGCUACAAUGGCGUAUACAACGAGUUGCCAACCCGCGAGGGUGAGCUAAUCUCUUAAAGUACGUCUCAGUUCGGAUUGUAGGCUGCAACUCGCCUACAUGAAGUCGGAAUCGCUAGUAAUCGCGGAUCAGCACGCCGCGGUGAAUACGUUCCCGGGUCUUGUACACACCGCCCGUCACACCAUGAGAGUUUGUAACACCCAAAGCCGGUGGGGUAACCUUCGGGAGCCAGCCGUCUAAGGUGGGA
RNAcentral lists this ribosomal RNA (1476 nucleotides) under Weissella confusa. RNAcentral describes it as "bacterial SSU rRNA". It matches the Rfam family "Bacterial small subunit ribosomal RNA". Lineage: Bacteria; Bacillati; Bacillota; Bacilli; Lactobacillales; Lactobacillaceae. The record is from RNAcentral.